GGGCCCGUGGGGGAGGACUACACAUGCAAGUCGAGCGGAUGAAGGGAGCUUGCUCCUGGAUUCAGCGGCGGACGGGUGAGUAAUGCCUAGGAAUCUGCCUGGUAGUGGGGGAUAACGUCCGGAAACGGGCGCUAAUACCGCAUACGUCCUGAGGGAGAAAGUGGGGGAUCUUCGGACCUCACGCUAUCAGAUGAGCCUAGGUCGGAUUAGCUAGUUGGUGGGGUAAAGGCCUACCAAGGCGACGAUCCGUAACUGGUCUGAGAGGAUGAUCAGUCACACUGGAACUGAGACACGGUCCAGACUCCUACGGGAGGCAGCAGUGGGGAAUAUUGGACAAUGGGCGAAAGCCUGAUCCAGCCAUGCCGCGUGUGUGAAGAAGGUCUUCGGAUUGUAAAGCACUUUAAGUUGGGAGGAAGGGCAGUAAGUUAAUACCUUGCUGUUUUGACGUUACCAACAGAAUAAGCACCGGCUAACUUCGUGCCAGCAGCCGCGGUAAUACGAAGGGUGCAAGCGUUAAUCGGAAUUACUGGGCGUAAAGCGCGCGUAGGUGGUUCAGCAAGUUGGAUGUGAAAUCCCCGGGCUCAACCUGGGAACUGCAUCCCAAAACUACUGAGCUAGAGUACGGUAGAGGGUGGUGGAAAU
Molecule: ribosomal RNA, 642 nt
Filed under: Pseudomonas sp. CL5
Lineage: Bacteria; Pseudomonadati; Pseudomonadota; Gammaproteobacteria; Pseudomonadales; Pseudomonadaceae
Description: bacterial SSU rRNA
Rfam family: Bacterial small subunit ribosomal RNA
Source: RNAcentral